This 77-nucleotide transfer RNA is filed under the name Aeromonas veronii. Its description in RNAcentral is "tRNA-Met". It matches the Rfam family "tRNA". Rfam says of the family: Transfer RNA (tRNA) molecules are approximately 80 nucleotides in length. Lineage: Bacteria; Pseudomonadati; Pseudomonadota; Gammaproteobacteria; Aeromonadales; Aeromonadaceae. The record is from RNAcentral.
CGCGGGGUGGAGCAUCCCGGUAGCUCGUCGGGCUCAUAACCCGAAGGUCGUCAGUUCAAAUCUGGCCCCCGCAACCA